Long non-coding RNA from Oncorhynchus tshawytscha (Chinook salmon), 471 nucleotides. The record is from Ensembl. NCBI's taxonomy places the organism in Eukaryota, Metazoa, Chordata, Actinopteri, Salmoniformes, Salmonidae.
GGGUGGUAGUGUCUGAGGUAGAAGACUAUGGGUGGUAGUGUCUGAGGUAGAAGACUAUGGGUGGUAGUGUCUGAGGUAGAGGACUAUGGGUGGUAGUGUCUGAGGUAGAGGACUAUGGGUGGUAGUGUCUGAGGUAGAGGACUAUGGGUGGUGGUGUCUGUCAGGUAGAGGACUAUGGGUGGUAGUGUUUGUCUGGUAGAGGACUAUGGGUAACCAUGCAGUAUACGUUAGGUAACCAUGCAGUAGGUAACCAUGCAGUAUACGUUAGGUAACCAUGCACUAUACGUUAGGUAACCAUGCAGUAUACGUUAGGUAACCAUGCAGUAUUCAGUAGGUAACCAUGCAGUAUUCAGUAGGUAACCAUGCAGUAUUCAGUAGGUAACCAUGCAGUAUUCAGUAGGUAACCAUGCAGUAUACGUUAGGUAACCAUGCAGUAUACAGUAGGUAUGUAUGAAGCUGUGGAUUUGCUAG